This 98-nucleotide ribosomal RNA is filed under the name uncultured bacterium. RNAcentral's name for it is "partial 16S ribosomal RNA". It matches the Rfam family "Bacterial small subunit ribosomal RNA", at positions 1389 to 1482 of the family's 1533-position model. The record is from RNAcentral.
ACCGCCCGUCACACCAUGGGAGUUGGCUUUACCCGAAGAUGGUGCGCUAACCCCGCAAGGGGAGGCAGCCAGCCACGGUAGGGUCAGCGACUGGGGUG